GAGGGUUUAGCUCAGCGAUAGAGCAUGUGCUUAGCAUGCACAGGGUCCUGGGUUCAAUCCCCAGUACCUCCA
Transfer RNA from Camelus ferus (Wild Bactrian camel), 72 nucleotides. It matches the Rfam family "tRNA". Rfam says of the family: Transfer RNA (tRNA) molecules are approximately 80 nucleotides in length. Their secondary structure includes four short double-helical elements and three loops (D, anti-codon, and T loops). NCBI's taxonomy places the organism in Eukaryota, Metazoa, Chordata, Mammalia, Artiodactyla, Camelidae. The record is from Rfam.